CUUAUAGUAUAAGUUAUACAAAAUAAUGGUUUUAGUUUUAAAUAUUCAGGGGCGGAGAAUGACACAGUCUUCAGUACAAGUGGAAUUGAUUAUUUGCCACGAAUUAGAUUGUCCACGAGCGGACAGAGGCAGUCGACGUCAGAUCCAUACUACCGAUAUGACAAUCGGAGUGGAAAUCUUUCUCCUUCAAGUGAACAGUUUCAAUCGAAUUCAGCUAAAAACUACUUUCGAUAUUGGUGACAGUUUGUUUUUGUUUUAUAAAAAGUGGAUAUAAGGCCCUGAAUUCUUACCAGAUCUGCCAUCACUGAUCAGUCAGAGAUGUGUUGUUUAAUUUCCUUUUUUUAUAAAAUAUGUUAAUAUCUUCCUUUUAUGAUUAAAUCUGACUGGCUUACUUGUGUGUAUAUAUACUGGACAAAAGUUCUGUGAAGUCAGUCAGAGUAAAAUAUGUUAUAGGAAUUCUCAUAGAGCUGACUCAUGAAAAAUUGUGAAAAAAUUUAAAGAAUUUCAACGCAAAUAAAUUCUGCACCAUGUAUGGAUUUGCAUCAUGCUGACGGAUAAUAUAGAUUUUUGUAUUAUGUUUAA
This is a long non-coding RNA of Ruditapes philippinarum (Manila clam), 582 nucleotides long. RefSeq lists it as uncharacterized. The record is from RefSeq and is a predicted model, not a curated record. The transcript is spliced from 2 exons. Lineage: Eukaryota; Metazoa; Mollusca; Bivalvia; Venerida; Veneridae.